UACGGAGGGGGCUAGCGUUGUUCGGAAUUACUGGGCGUAAAGGGCGCGUAGGCGGGCAUUCAAGUCGGGGGUGAAAUCCCGGGGCUCAACCCCGGAACGGCCUCCGAUACUGGGUGCCUGGAGGACGGAAGAGGCGAGUGGAAUGCCGAGUGUAGAGGUGAAAUUCGUAGAUAUUCGGCGGAACACCGGUGGCGAAGGCGGCUCGCUGGUCCGUUUCUGACGCUGAGGCGCGAAAGCGUGGGGAGCAAACAGG
RNAcentral lists this ribosomal RNA (253 nucleotides) under uncultured bacterium. RNAcentral's name for it is "partial 16S ribosomal RNA". It matches the Rfam family "Bacterial small subunit ribosomal RNA", at positions 524 to 776 of the family's 1533-position model. The record is from RNAcentral.